Molecule: long non-coding RNA, 347 nt
Organism: Rosa chinensis
Lineage: Eukaryota; Viridiplantae; Streptophyta; Magnoliopsida; Rosales; Rosaceae
Exons: 5
Source: RefSeq, a predicted model, not a curated record
GCAGGGUGCUCGUGGUGGAGGGAAAAUAGUCUUGAAGGGACUUUAUUCUGGAUUGGCUGGAAAUCUUGCUGGUGUAUUACCGGCUUCUGCAAUUUUUGUUGGAGUUUAUGAACCUACAAAGCAGAAAUUGUUAAAGAUGUUUCCUGAAAAUCUAAGCGCUUUAGCUCAUUUUACUGCGGGGGCUUGUGGAGGCAUUGCUGCAUCACUCAUUCGUGUUCCAACGGAGGUUGUAAAGCAAAGGAUGCAAACGGGGCAAUUCACAUCUGCCUCUGCUGCUGUUCGCCUUAUUGCUGCUAAGGAGGGCUUCAAAGGACUCUAUGCGGCAAAGAGAGAGCUCAAUGAUCCUG